CAGGUGAGCCGGCCGGAUCGCUUCAAGGUGAGCACGGUACGAUACUGUAUAGGUUCCGGCUACACAGUGGUUCAGUUAUCAGUUCCGCCUCAGGUGUGAAAUGCUCAGGUUGUGCACGGGCAAGCUGGGCCCAACUCUCAAUAUAAAUAUCCAAUUUAAAUUACGCUUAUAAAAGAAUAAUUGGCAUAUUUAUCACGUGCUCCCCCUCUUCUGCACAGACUUCAUCAAAUAAACCUUGAGCCGUCAUUGUUUGCAUUCAAACUAAUCUAAAUUGGCAUGAAAAUUUAACAAGGCCAUCCAAGUGUGCACCUGCAUAAGUAUAUCAUUGCUCAGUUGUGGUUGGAAAACUUCCCAAAAGAGAUUCCUACUGGUGCAUUUGUGAUUCACCGGGUGAGUAAAGCCUUCCAGCGGGCUCUUGGCUGGUUUUAUUUAGAAAAACAUCCUUUCACACUUGCAUUUGCACCCAAGAACAAUUUAUAGUCUUCAAUCAACUCAACAUGCAGGUUUUUGCAAUGCAGGAGAUAAAAUAGCCUACCUGCAGAACAAUCAUGGAAGCACAGGGUAGAACGUAUUCCGAAACCUAAGAAUAAAAGUCACAUAGGGAAGGCCGCAGCCUCAAUUUGACUCCCCAAGCACAAAACUGUGAGGUGAAAAUCAAAUUUGUCCCUGUUAUCGGUAUGCAUCUACUCCACUUGUACCUCGCAGGUUAAAGUAAAAAAAAAAAAGUACAAGGUUGUGAAGAGACAGUGAUAAAUCUACUUUCAGAUACAGCAAAAGAGAGCUAAAAA
Syngnathus typhle (broad-nosed pipefish) is the source of this 788-nucleotide long non-coding RNA. RefSeq lists it as uncharacterized. The record is from RefSeq and is a predicted model, not a curated record. NCBI's taxonomy places the organism in Eukaryota, Metazoa, Chordata, Actinopteri, Syngnathiformes, Syngnathidae. The transcript is spliced from 2 exons.